GACAAAUAAUUUUCUAUUUUAAAUCAAUACAUGUAUGUUCUUUCAUCCUCAUAUGACAAAUAUUGUGAUGAAGGGAUAAAAUUUAUGAAUGGGGAGAUCAGCAUUCAAGAAGGAAAAAGCAAGUUUUCCAAGAUGCAAAGAGAACAAGAAAUCGGAAAGAGACAGGGAGGAAACAAAAUCAGAAAGUAGAUGCCAUCUAAGACAUAUUGAAUUGACAAAAAGCUGCAGUGAUCUGUAAGUUAGAAAGAGAGUGUAUGGCGUGCAUCAUCAGGAAACAAAAUUAUCACUAAUCCAUCAACAUGGAUAGGCUUGGAAUGACCAACCAUAAUUAGAAUAUAGAAUCACUACGUAAUAAUUUUAUUGGAUAAUUCCUACCAACUAUCUUGCAUAAGAUUUGAGUGAGAAGUAAUUACCAACAUCAAGUUGUCUUGAUGAUUGCUCAAUGCCGUCAUCCUGACCCAAUUUUUGCCGUUUUGUCGGUGCAUCAAUUGAAACAUACCCAGCAUCUAUUUCAUCUUCAUCGUCAUCAGCCAACUUAACAGGGGGUGGUACUAGCUUUGACUUUUGUUUCAAGCUGAAAGCAAGUUUGCCACUGGAACCACCCUGUGAAGAUUUCUUUGCAUCAUUAGCCUUACUAAUGGAGGGUUUGGGAGUCAGAGGUCCUGAAACAACUUUAAUUGGUUUAGAGUCCUCUGGCUUGGCAUUUUUCCCCCUCUCCUGCUCUUGUUGGAGCUGCCUGAACCUCUCCAUAAACGAACCAUCAUUGACAAAGAGGGUAGGAGGUGGUCCCUUGUCCAUUGGUUAAGGUCCAAAAUAAAUAAUGUGGCUUUCAGCAACUCACUGUUUGACAAAAAAGCUGCAAAGCUUUUUAGAUGUUGCAGUUAAAUUUAAAGUCAUGGUUUCUUUCUAUCCAAUAUGUGGUGUCAUUUAAACCUUCAAAGAGAUAAUAGUGUUGUAUAUUUAUGUACAAAUAUAUAACAUAGGUCANAGAUGUUGAUCCAAAUUAUUGGAGUCAUAAGAGAUGUCUAAGUUGUUAAGUUGUUAAGAUGUUGAGUCCAUUACAUACUCAUUUACGUUGGGUGAGGGUUUGAUGCUCUGUAAUGUAUAUUUAUACAUAAUAUGUGAAGGGAAAGGACUUGAUGCUCUGUGAGCCUAUUUACGCUCAAUAUGUUGGGGGCUUGAUGCACUGGUUGGUACCAUAUGCAUGAUUAAGAAGUUGAAGUUGCGUUGUCGUUGUCGUUAAGUUGUCAUUUGUCAAUGAGUUGUUAAUAAAGAACUAAGUGAAAUAUUAAUAUUUAUUAAUCGUUGUUGUUUAAGUUAUUAUGAGAUGAUAAAUAUGUGUUGUUAUAUUAUGAUGAGAUGAUGAAUAUGUUGUUGCUAUAUUAUUAUAAGAUGAUGAAUAUGUGUUGUUGUAUUAUUAUAAAAUGAUGAAUAUGUGUUGUUUAUAUCAUUAUAAGAUGAUGGUUAUGUUGUGUUGUAUAUGAUUAUUAUUAUUAUUAUUAAGUGAUGAUUAUGUUGUGUGGUCUAAGUUAUUAUGAGAUGAUUAUUAUGUUGUGUGUUAAAGAUGAUAUUUAUGAUAUGAUGAUCUAUGUUGGUUAUGAUUUGGUUAUUAUGUGCUAUAUGACGAAGUUUAUAAUGCGAUGAAUAUGAAGUUAAUGAUAAUUAAAAGUUGUUGAGUUAUGAAGAAUCAUUACAUAAAGGAUUAUUAUUACUAAUAGAUGAAGUUAUUUAUGUUGUUAUCCCAAAUUGUAUGUCACUUUAGAAAAAAUAUUUGUCCCAAAUUAUAUGUCGCUUUACAAUACCAAUGAAACAUUAAUGUUAUUUUUCUUAUUAUAUCCUUAACUAUUUAUUACUCUUUCUUUUUUCAAUUCUUUCAUUUAUCUUUCCCAUAUCAUAUAUUAAGGACAAUUUUGUAAAACAACUCAUAAUAUCUCUUUCCCACACAAUAUUAAUUCCAUUUCUUAAUAUGUGUGAAAUGCCCAAAACGUCAUACAAUUUGGGACGGAGGGAGUAUAAUUAAUGAAUUAUAUGUUUGAUAUUAUUGUUUUGUGAUAUUAUUAAUGAAUUAAAUUGUAUUUAAGCUUUGAAAUCUAUAAACCUGUCAUUUAACUUCUUUUAUUGAGAUGUCGUUUCCAUCAAAGUCAGAAAGAAAAAAAAAAUGAAUUUUCAACAUUGGCGCGAGAGGGAUACAAGGCAAUAAUGUUAACAGAGAAUUGGCAAAGGCUACGGUAGGAGACUUGAUUUUAUUUUUUUUGUUUUUGUUGCAAAAUGAAUGUUAAUCAUUAGAUGUAUUUUAAAAGUUUUUAAUGGUUGAGAUUUUCAUGUUUUAUCACUUUCUAAGAUUCCAAUUUUUAAACAUAUAAAUUGAAUUAAAAAAGGAAAUUGAUUUUGAAAUCACAAUUAACAAAAGGGUAGUUUUGGCAUUGUUGGAAAAAUGUUCCUCUUGUUAUUCUCUCACUGUAGAAUUGUUCUCUCUGUUUGGUUGUUUGUUUUUACCGAUCUAACUGAUGGCAUAUUUCUUUUCUAGUAUUCAUGCUGAUUUGUUGUGCUACGGUCGAAGGUAAAUGGUAGAAAUCUUCCCGUCGGCGGCUCCGGCGAGAGAGAUAAUAAUAUUUCUCUGUGUGAAUAAAUAUUUCUCAGAUUGAUAAGGAAUCUAGUUAUAUGAUGAAUUGAGACCCGUAUGAAAAUACUAUGUGAAAUGUAGUAACUUCCGUGAAAAAUAAAGCUUAUUACCACGUUUGUUUUUGCAAAAACCCUAAAAAAUAUAAUUGCGGUUGACAAGUGGAUUUGUAAAAUAAGUAUGUGCCUUCUCCUUGCCUUUCAAAUCCGAGCAAAAAUAUGUAAAGUUCGUUGAAUUUCAUCGAGUAUCGAGCGAGAUCCAAUUACAUACGUUUAUCUCUUUCUCUAGAUCUAACAUGAAAUGAAGGAAAAUAUGAAUUUCCUAUACUGUGUUGGAACAAAAUGUAUCUAGCAAUAAUAAUCCUUGAGUUUUGAUGAUAACAAAGUAUUAAAAAUUGUCAAUUGAAUAUGCUAAUAUUUUUUCAAGUGUACAUACUAUAGACAAAAUUUGACAUCUUAAAUUGGUCUUGAAAGAACAAAUAAAGAGCAAGUACAUCAACAAAAAGGGAAGCUUAAAGCGUCUGAAGAAAACUGCUCCUGAAGUUUGAAGUGCUCCUGAAGACAAAGUGCUCCUGAAGUAAUGACGUCAUCAGAAGCAAGUUCAUCAGAAGCUGUGUAUCACCAGAAGCUACAGUUCAUCAGGAGAUGGAACUUAAAGUUUUCAAAAGCUGUUUCAAGGACUCUAACUCGCCUAGAAAUUGCAGAAGAUUAGAAAAGUAUGACAACGGCUAUUUUGAAACGCAUUGGAUGCUUAUUCUUCAAAGAGUGUUGACAUAGUACGUUUGUACGAAGUGUACAACCACUACUUCCACUACUCUGUUUUUGUCCCUGCUACAAGACAAGGAUAACAGCUCUGCCUGCAACAAUGUUUAUUCACAUUGGGAACACAUUUGAAAUUGAUCCUUCAUAAGACAAUAACCAUAUCAGGCAAAUGAUCAUUGGUGAUAGAUCAAAAGCUUCAAACGACUCUAUUUUGAAUGUGAUGACAUUUCAACGUCUCUUUCACACCUCUAUAUAAAGGAGUGAAGACUCAGAGUUACACAAGAACAAUACUACGCAUCAGCUAAGCCAAAACUCUGUUGAAAUUGUUCUCCACUUCAAAGUUCACUUAGAAUUUCUUAACAAAGCUUAUAUCUUAGGAAUUCUAGAGUCUGUAUCAGAUUUGUAUUGUGAACACCACUGAUUGUAUAUCAAGUGUUCAACCUCAAACAUUUUUCUUUGUAAUUCUGUUUGAAUUAAGAAGUCUAUUGCAGUUGUGCUUGAGCAAUAGAAGUCUCUUGAUUGUGUUCAGGAGCAUAGGAAGUCUCUUGCAGUUGUGCUUGAGCAAUUUGAAGUCUUUUACUAAGUUUAGUAGUGAGCAUUUGCAAUCAGAUAUUACAUAGUGAACUCCCCUUGAAAGUGCAAGGGGGACAUGACCGACUUCCGAUUUGUGGAAGGAACCUGUAUAAAUUGUUUGUGUCUUUCUUCUCUCUUUCUCUCUGUUUUAUCCGCUGCAUUUAGUUCUGAACAUCUCUUCAGAAGUAGAACUCUAUCUGCUUCUAAACUACUUGUUUCAGAUAGAAGAAAAAGAAGAAAAAGCUAACACAAUUCAACCCCCCUUCUUGUGUUUUUCUCACCUUCAUAGUGUCUCUGUAAUAUUCAUACCAUUAAAAUGUGUAUGAAAUUAUUAUAAGAAUCAUUUAUAUCUUUUUUACUUUUAUAAUAGGUAAAUAAUGUACCUAACCUGCAAAAAAAACAGGUCAUUUAAGCUUAAAAAAAAAAAAAUUGAAGUCUCUCAUGGUAGGAGACCUAUUGAAGUCUCCCACCCUAAACGGCACCCAGAGAAUUGUAUAAUACAUGUUAUGAUGUUGUUGGGACAUCUAAUUCUGUCAAAUUUAGUUUUUAUUGGUGAGCAUAGGUGAUGGUGAUGAAUGCAGGAAAAUAAUAUUACACAGUUGACAGUUCCAACUUCCAAUAAUUCUGCCGAAGUUUUCAAUUGAUCUUGCACAAAGAUAACAUUUGUUUGCAGUAAAAGAAGUUAUCAAAAGAGGAGAAGUGAAAAAACAGAACCUCUCUCUUUGCCUUUAGUUCCUUUUUUUUUUUUUGUCAAGUAGCUUAGUGGCUCUUUCUCUUUAGUUCCUAAUCAAGACUAAAAUUAUUUAACAUUUGAUAGAUUGCUGAUCCACAAGAGAAAACCAUCUUUUUAAUAUGCAGGGUGGAUAGACAGUUGAUCAUGAAAUUGAAAGAAUAUUUUAUUCUUUAAGGAUGUCAUUUACAUGGCAUUGGUAAGUGAUCUUUAGUCAUUUAAAUAACAUUGGCACUCAAAACAGUCAAAAGGAAUAAGAGAUUUUCUUGACACUUAAUGCAUAUUGGUAGCAUCAUGAAGUUCCCACAUAUUGCUAUCACAAUAUGCAUAUUCUACCCAACUUUUCUGCCAUUGGUGCCGAUCUGAGUUUGAGGUAAAGUUCAUGAGCCGUAUAGUCUCGAAUGAAGUUGGUUUUUUUCUACCUUAGAGGUUUUUUUCUUCCUUAAUUUCUGACUUUUUCACAGAGCAAUCUGCAACUACAUCCUUUUUACCAAGCUCAGACCUUUUCUCCAAGAAUUCGGUGUUCUCUUUCCAGACCUCGCCAUUUGAAUAAACCUCUUUUUUCCAAAUAGGAACUGUUGCUUUUAUCUCAUCUAUCAAAUAUCUACAUGCCUCAAGCGCAUCAGCCCUGUGGACAGAUGACACUGCAAUGAAGACACUCGUUCCUCCAACAGGUACUGUACCUAGCCGGUGAGCAACAGCAACGGAAUGUAGAUUCCAGGAUUCUCUAGCAGAUGAACAGACGGACUUGAUACAACGUAUUGCCAUUGGAAUGUAAGCUUCGUAUAUCAACUCCACAACUGUUUUUCCGUCAAAAGUGUCACGAGUGGUGCCUGAAAAUGUAGCUACAGCACCAGCUUGUGGGGCACUGACAAAAUUCAUAUAUUUAGCAACAUCGAUUGAGUUCAAGUUUUCAACGAUUUCAAUAAGAUCCUUAUCAUCUUCGGCAGCCAUUUUCUACAAGAAGAUUAGAUAAUAUGCUGACGAAUUGUGAAUAUCUUCUGGUUUCAGGGACUUUUCUUUCGGCAAAGAUAAAAGCGGAUGAGAUCAGCAGUUCAUCCUACAAAUUGAUUACAGCUUCUCAUAUCAGGUACACAAGACAUUAUGAAAAUCAUGCAAACAUCGAGUUAUAUUGUCCACAAUCAGCAUCAAAUAACAAAUAAAAUACAAAAUGCAAAAAAUAAACAAAAACAAAAUGCAUGUCAUAAGAAAAAUAUGUAUUACAGACCCUUCAAAAUAGGGAGUUUGAUUUCACCUAAACUUGACGUUUAGUAUUUGAAGAUUUGUCAACAUGAAAAUGGCUGGUCAAACUGAUGGCUUUUCAAUAUAAGGUACUCCGACCAUUUCACCAAGUAUUGGAAUUCCUUAAUUCCCUCGGAGGAAAAUACACCAGUUGAUAAUUUAUGUUACCUAUGAUUAACUACACACCGUUUACGUCAUAUGAUCUGAACUCUGAAAUGUAAAUGAGUUUUGGGUUAAAAAAUUGUAAUCUGUGUUAAGACAUCCAGGAACCAGCAGAGCCGCAACCAAUUUUAAUGGUUUGUUAGGAACCAAAGAAAUUGAAUUUAAAGAAAGACAAACUUGUAUUACUGAAAAACUCGUUAGAAGCCAAACAAAUUAAUUACUGUAUUGUUUUAAUGAGAAAUAAAGGGCACAGAUUAAUUUCAUUUUCUUUUCUACUUUUUUUGUUUGUAUAAUGUUUAUUGACUGAUCACAAAUCAUCAUAAUGAUCACGUGUAGUUCUUAAAAUGAUUAAAAUAUUAUGAAUUUGUUUCUCAAACUCCUUACAAAAUAAUGCAGGAACAUGAUUAAAAGAUGAAAAAUGUAGUGCCUAAAAUUGUUUCUCAAACUCCUUACAAAAUAAUGUGGUGAUUACUAGUUAUAAACUUAUAAUGCAAGAACUCUUACACUCAACACUGCCGGUGUAUUUGGCAACAGCCAUUGCGAAUAGAAUAUAUCUUAAGUCCAAGAUUUUCUUCUUGGAAAAAUCAUUGCAGUCCACAAAUAAAAAACAAAACCCAUUAGAUACUAUAUGAUAUAUCCAUUUAGACUUAACAUUAUUAGUCUAUUUAUUAAAUCAUAUGGACAUAUAAUUGGGGCAAAGACUCGCAGUUCAGUAGCUAGCUCAUAUGAACAAAGAUUUUCAAUACUUGGUUUUGCUUGUAUAUCACCAACAUACACAGUCCAAAUACAAAUAAAGAUUAAAAAGGAAAAAAAGAAAGGGAGCAUGCAUGCCUGAAAAGCUCAGUGGAAGCUGGCAUGGAUUCACCAUAGUUCUUAGCAUUACUUACAGGGCUGUCUCUAUGAAAUUUCUGGCAUGGCUCUCAUAGUAAAACUGGACCCUUAAUAAAAUAAAGAUGCAAUUGGUUCUUAAAAGAGUAAUCUUCUAUUUAAAUUGAAAAGAGUACCCUUAAACAUAAAAAAAGCUAAUUUCUAUCGCACUUCUCUCCAUUUGAUAAAGUUCUAGUAUACAAAUUAGCCGUAAAACCCUUCACAGUAGUAAAGUCUCUUUUAGGGCCUUUUGUAGCUACUAACUCAUACAGAAACGCAUACAGAUUCAAGACAGUGAGUGAAAUUUCACAUUUUCAAACUAACAUUCAAACGAACAGUGAAAUUUGACACACCAUAUGUCCAUAAUAGUAUAAUAAAUUAAUUUUUUUUCAACAAAAUUAGCAACAAAAACUAACAAGAUUAUAACCAAACAGUAAAAUUUCACAAUUUGCAAAUACACUGAAAUCAACAUAAUAACAGUGAAAUUAGCAAAGAAUAAUAAUAAGUAAUUAGCAAUUAGACAAGAGGAAAGAAGAACCAAUUUUCAAACUAACCUUCAAUUUCAAUUUCCCUUUCCCGUUUUUCCUCUUCAAUUCUGUUUUCCACUUUUGUUGGAUUGGGGGUGAGGUGAUGAGUAAGGCGGCGUGUGGCAGUGGUGAUGGUGGUGGGAGAGGAUGCGGCGGAGAGUGGUGGAAGAAGAAAGAAGAGCCUUGAUUACUUGUUGAAGUGAGUUCAAUGUUCUCUGCAUCAAAUUAACCAAUCCAAUGAAGAAGCAUAAACCAGUUAACAAACAUAACAAAAGUAGCCAAAUCCACCCAUCUAAGUGUAUGUUUGGUUCAAAGUGAUAUAAUGCAUUGCAUAUGAAUUUAACAAGUAAAAAUUUAUUACCUCUAAAUCUCAUUAAUACAAUCUAUGUUGAAUAACUUCAUGAAACAAUGAAAAUUAAUAUCAACACUGUCCAAAAACAUGCACAAGUAAUCUUAAUAGAACAAACCCAGUUGAAGAAAAACAAAAUUAAAACUACCCAGUUGAAUUCAACUACAUAACAAAGCUUCAAAGUCAAUCACAGUUCAGAAAAUCGAUCUAAAAGUUUAAUUUUUAAUAAAAAUUCACAAUUGAAGAAAAAUUAAAAGUUCAUAUAAUCAGUAUUUGAGUCAAUCGAUACGUACCCGAUUGAAGAAAAUUGACAAACAAUCAACGAUCUUAGAACAUCGGAGAAUCAGAUAGAAAGAAAAAAAAAUCAAUGGUUUUUUUAGUUUUUUUUUUCUUUCUCCCGUGUUUGUUUUAUUUUUUGUGCUGUGUUUUGAGCUUGGGGAGGCUUUAAUAGCCUUAUAAGCAAUGGGAAUAUGAAUAUCAAGCAAUUGUGAUUAUAAAAAGUUAGUAUUAUGGUUAUUAUAAAAAGUGACAUUAAGUCAAAAUUGUGAGUUUUUAGAAUAUUUCAAUAAUAUUUUGGUCAAAAAGUAUGUAUCAACAAUAAUAAUUUGGUCUCAGAGAAAAAUUUAGAUGAGAAAGAUACCAUUUUAGUUACUCUUACGUAUUGUUUAUUGAUGGGAAUAUCAAAAAGUUACUGGAUUGUGAUACUUGGGGAGGAAAAAUAAUACUUAUAAAAUGUAUAUUAUAUAUACAUCAUAUUCAAUUGCCUCAGAGGAAAAUACACCAGUUGAUAAUUUAUGUUACCUAUGAUUAACUAAACACCGAUUACAUCAUAUGAUCUGAACUCUGAAAUGAAAAUGGGUUCUAGGUUAAAAAAUUGUAAUCUGUGUUAAAAGACACAUCAAAGAACCAACAGAGCAGAACCAAUUUUAAUGGUUUGUUAAGAACAAGAAAUUGAAUUUAAAGAGGAAAAAAACUUGUAUUACUGAAAAAACUGAAAGAAAAUGGAUUGUAGAAUCCUCCUAUGAAGUUUCAUCUUCACAAACAUUCUUAUAUUUUAUUUUGUUUGGUAAUCUAGAGGACCUACGCCUAAAAUGAAAUGAACCAAGCGCGGAGUAGAAAUUCCCAAGCUAUGAAUCAAAAGAAACUGAUUAAUGUGAGCAUGACAACGCUCAUGAUUAAUUAAAGAAAAAAACUUAUUUUAGCAAAAGCAUCGUAAAAGCGACAAACCUUCAUCUUAUAAUCCAUUUGACGCAACCUUCUAAUGUUUUGAAUCAACCUCAUCCCAGAAACGCUGCCUUUCUUAUUAUUACGCAAAUUAGCAACCGCGACUUGAGAACCCACAUUCAGCUCAAUUCUUCUGUACCUAAAGACACCCCGUAAAAAAAAUUCCAUUCGAGGCAUGUGCUUUUGUGGUGCGUAUGUAGUGCAACAUACGCACCACAAAAGCACAUGCCUCCUUCCCUCUAACUAACUACCUUAUUUCAUCGUAACUACUCCAACUUCCCUUCAUUCUAUAUGCUAACAUGUUUCACUACAGAUUUGCUUAUCAGGCAACAUAUUUACCACAUUCAAUAAAAAAUAUCGAGCCGUGGAAAUCAACAUGAUUUCACGCUUUUGAUUCUUCAAGCUCAAGAUAAAACUCCAGUCACUUGUUAUAUCGCAAAAAAAUUCAAACCACAUAUUUUCAAUAAUCAUCAUGAAAGCGUUUAAAAAACAACAGAGGACAAGACAACUAAAAUCUAUGAAGCACAGACACUCCUUGGAUUAGGCGUGUCCCGGUGUCGACACCGACACGACACCGACACUUGUUAUUACCAUGAAUUAUGUGAUUUUUUCAAAUUAUUAGCUGUGUCGGCGUGUCAGUGUCCAUGUCAUGUCCGGUGUCCAUGUCCGUGCUUCAUAGACUAAAAUCCACAAUUUCAAAAACGAUUAAUAAAGCACGAAGGAAGCCAAGUCAAUAAAUCCUAAUUGAAGUCAACAUGACCAACCAUAAAUAUUGAGAAUUUUAAUUAUGUUUUUAUCAUUAUCAAUAUAUAUAAUCAAAUUAGCACCACAAUAAAUAUAAUUAAUUAGAUGAGUUUGAUAAAGUUUUCAAGAAAUUAAGAUGCAUGGAGAAUCAAGUAGAUGAGAAUUAAAUCAGAGAAAUAAAUAAUGUGGCUUUCAGCAACUCACUGUUUGACAAAAAAGCUGCAAAGCUUUUUAGAUGUUGCAGUUAAAUUUAAAGUCAUGGUUUCUUUCUAUCCAAUAUGUGGUGUCAUUUAAACCUUCAAAGAGAUAAUAGUGUUGUAUAUUUAUGUACAAAUAUAUAACAUAGGUCACAAGAACAAUAAACAUGAAUACCAGACCAAACAUCAUCAACAAGACAAUAAACCUCGACAGAAAUCAUUCAUAAAUGAAACGCAGACUAAGAGAUAAAAGACCGUUUAAUUAUGAAAUUCAUAAUGAUCACGAGUGAAAACAUGAACUAUGGACAAUAGACUCUGCUGAAUGAAAUCACCAUACCAAUUCUUCCAUCAAACUAAGAAAUGCUAAAAAAAAUGAAAAAAAGGAACCCACUUCCAAUUCAAAACCGUAUUGACAAGAGGCAAUACUUCACAGAAUAAGAAAUAUAGGAAACAAUAAUUAAAAAUUCUUCUUUACUGAAAGAUAAUAGAAUUUCAAUUUUUUUAUUGAUCUGAAUUUCCAUGACAGACAUUCUAUGCUUCUCAAGCAUCCAUAAUGGAAGCAAAAUACGAGCUGAGAAAAAAAUAAAAUUUUGGAAAAUUUAUGCCUUAGAAGAAAAGUCUAAAAGAACAUCACUAAUGCCCUCCCAACUUUUGAAGUUUCAUACCUGCCAAAUUAAAAAGGAAAUCCUUCUUAGAAAAUCCAAGUUCGUAAGCAAAACUGUAAAAUGGCAAUGCUCCAAAGUUCUAGUUUAUCUUAAACCAGUUUACUAACCCAUUAUUCAUAACGAAACAGAAAACCACCGCUGGAAUAUGCAUAAUUGCCACAACAGUUAAACCUACCCAACUGUGCUAUAAUCUAGCUGGAAUAAAAAACCACCAAUCUAGUCUCUAAACUACCACUCUCUCCAAUUUAGUACCUAAAUGAUAUACAUAUGAUAAGUAGUCCCGAGUAUAUGAAACCCGUAUAUGAAAAUCCUUCAAUUUAGUCCCUGACAUCUUAAUAACAGGGACUAAGUUAACAGAUUUUAUAUACUUUAAGGACUAAAUUGAAGAGUGAGCAAUAGUAGUUUAGGGACUAAAUUGAANAUCUUAAACCAGUUUACUAACCCAUUAUUCAUAACGAAACAGAAAACCACCGCUGGAAUAUGCAUAAUUGCCACAACAGUUAAACCUACCCAACUGUGCUAUAAUCUAGCUGGAAUAAAAAACCACCAAUCUAGUCUCUAAACUACCACUCUCUCCAAUUUAGUACCUAAAUGAUAUACAUAUGAUAAGUAGUCCCGAGUAUAUGAAACCCGUAUAUGAAAAUCCUUCAAUUUAGUCCCUGACAUCUUAAUAACAGGGACUAAGUUAACAGAUUUUAUAUACUUUAAGGACUAAAUUGAAGAGUGAGCAAUAGUAGUUUAGGGACUAAAUUGAAGGUUUAUUCAUUCUAGCUACUUCAUAUUAAGAAAAAAGCUAUUAUUUUUUUGUUGCCUUUGGCAUCGCUUUGAACAUAAAAUUACUAUUUUUGGUGUGAACCAGAUACCCUAAGUACGCAAUUGCAUAGACUAAUCCCUCGAGCUAGAGCCAAGGGGACCACAAUGGAUGUGCAUCAAAAUACUAUAAUGACAAUAAAUCAAUAUUGGCAUGCCAUGACCCAAAUUACCCAUAAACGUUUCUUCAGAUAAAAAAACAAACUUUAACGUGAUUCUUCAAUACCCUAUGAUUAAUUAUAUCUCUAGAAAUAAAACAAAAUCACAUCCAAUUUCAUAUUUGUAUUGUUGUUGUUGCAUGUAAUGGAAACAAAAUAUGUAAAGAACUUGACCUUGAUGAAGACAACAGCCAAGGUUUAAGCUCUUUUUCGGCGCGGUGGUUGCAAGCUCCGGCGUGGUGGUCACCGGCGAAGGUUGUCCGUUCCUGAUAUUUUUAAAUGGGUUUUGUAGAGAAGAUGGAGGGGACUCUUUUUAUGGUGAUGGAUUAAGUUUGAACUCGAUUUCGUUGUAGGAGUCCAACCCUUCACUAUAUUUAACUUGCAUUAGUGAAUGGUGAAUGUUACUUAUAUAUAUUAGAGUAAAUUACACUCCCCUCCCCUCAAAGAUGCUUGAAUUACACUUCCCUUCCUUUAAAGAUGCUUGAAUUACACUCCCCUCCCCUCUUAUGUUAUGUUAAAAUAUACACUCCCCUCCCUUGAAAAUUAAAAUUUAUACUCCCUUCUUGUGUUAAAAUAUACACUCCCCUUCCUUGAAAGUAAAAUUUAUACUCCCCUCCCUUAUAAGAUGUUUGAAUUACAACCUCCUCCCUUAAUAAUUAAAUAGGGACUACACUUUAAUCCAUUUUAACAUAAGUAAAUAUUUUUAUAAUAUAUAUUAAUUUUGAAUCACCAUUUAAAAUAUAUAAAUUCGUUUCUUUAUAAUCUAAAUUUAAAUUUAAAUAUUUUGUAAUUAAUUUUAUAAUUUAGAGUACAAAAUUCACUUUUAAAUAACUAUACUUAAUCGAUUUUAGUAAUUUUUCACAUAUUUUAAUUUUAUUUUGGGUUGUUUCAUAUUUUAUAACAGGGUUUAAAACUAUAUGUUAAUGAAUUGUGAAUAAAAAAUAGAGAAAGAUGUGUAUUCAUAAUUUGAUUAUAUUAAAAUGAACCCGCAAUGUUUUUUUUCUUUGAAGUGUGCUAGAUUAUUUCUUUGCUAGAUUAUUGGAAAUAAAAAAAAAUUAUUGAGGGAUUAAAGCGUAGAUUUUAACUUAAGAGAUGAGGGAAAUGUAAUUCAAUCUUCUCUCAAGGGAGGGGAGUGAAAUAUUUUCUAAUAUAUUUUGAAUAAGAGGGGAUGAGAGUGUAUAUUUUAACAUAAGAGGGGUGGGGAGUGUAAUUUACUCUAUAUUAUACGAUAGGAAUGCUAACAAAAUUUCUUAUUUUAAAAUCUGAACUCAGGAUUUAACUCAAGUUAUUCGGGAUGGUUCAUAGGAGUAUAUAUAUGUCCCAAAAUCUUGAUUGCAUUCUAAAAAAAAAUGUGAUGAAUAAUUGAGAACAAACAAACGUGUUAUAUUCUGCAAUGAGAAAAGUUAACAAAAUUUUAAAAAAUAUUUGCUUGCAAUUUUAAAUUCAUAAUUUUUCUGUACCAUUUAAACAAAAACCAUCUUAAAUUUUAACAACAAAAGAAAGCAAUUCUUUUAACUGUGCCAAUAAUAAUAACACACUCCAAAAGCUCAAACGGUAAAAACAUUAUUCUUUGUUAGCUAAACAUGUGAUGAUAGUAAUAAACACAUUUCUCCCCCACAAAAAAGGCAAAAGAAAAUUUUGAUGUUCCAAAAAAGAAAAAGCGCAAACGUUCACAAAAUCCCGUAACGACUGCACAAGUUCAUCUACCAUCUAAAGGGAUACUUUACCAACAAUACAGUUGACAUAAGCUUUCGGCGAUGUUUGUUCAGUAGUAAGCCUUGCGAGGAUUGUUCUGGAAAAACAAACACAAUCACAAUAUGAAAACAAGGUUACAUAGUAACUCAGACAUCACUACAAAACAAUUCAUAAUAGAAGGGGAAAUUACCAGAGGAUUUGGCCUGUGACGGUAGCCAAGCAUCAUCCGCUUUUUAUACUGCUCAUAGAUGUCAUCCUCAGGAGUCACCUCCCCAGGUUGGACAGCACCUACUCCCAAGUUAUCUUUCUUAACACUGCCUGCCAUUAUAGGAUCUGCAAUACCCUUCCUAGAGCCCCCUAGACCCUCACCUGCAUUAUCAUCAAUGUCAGCACAAGAAAGAAAUGGCAAGUAUAUAAAUGUCAUACAACAGUUAGAGCUCGAGUUGGACUCUUAAAUGCAUUCAUCGACUUGAAAGGAAAAACACUUGAAGAAAUUUUAAGCACCUUCUUUCCAACCCAUUUUUGAUAAAAGCUUGUGGCCCACAUUAUAAGCCUGAAUUUUGGCCCUCUCAGCAGCCUCCUUUGCAGCUUUCAUAGCUGCUGCAUCGUUACAGCUAGCCAAGAACUUCUCCAGUUCUUCCUGAGGAAUAUAAUCACCCAUGUGAUGGCCUUUUUUCCCUGAAGCUGAAGCUGCGUUCAAGAUAAAGCAUUCAAGAGAUUAUUACAUUUACAAAAAGAAAAUUCACAAUUCAACCUGUUCAAAUAAAAUGAAAACAAAUCCAAUAAAAACCAGGUAACAAUCACCAUCAUAAGUUGAGCCUUGAAGAGAUGGAGGAGGGGGCAUCUCAUCUUUUGAAUGCCUAGGUUGUUUGAACUUUUCUUCCUGUGCGGCUUUCUUCAUGUAAAACUCCAUUAGUGCUAAAGAAUUGGCCUUUGAUGAUCCACCGGGCUCAUCUGAACAGAUAUACAAAACGCAUGCAUCAAUAAAAUGUUGCAUACAAAGAUACAUGAGGUUCUUGACAACUGAGAGUCCUACAAACUCGGAUACAAAUAUAAUUUCCAUCCACUAAUCCUUUUGAAAACAACAUGAUGGCAGCUAAAGUAUCAUAAUGAUGGCUAAACUGCCAUGCUGUAUAAGUAUCCCUUACCCGAGCUUCCAACUGAAAAUGCUUGUCCUGCAGAUCCAGAACCCCUUGGUACGUCAGCACUAUCAUAUAAAGCAGAGGCAGGGAUUUGGUAAGUUGACUGCUGCUGGGACGAUCUCUGAGGACCAUUUGUUGGUCUGGAAGAUGGAAUGCUUGUCCCUGCUGAGGGUUAAAUUGUUCAACAUUACAAGCCAAAAUAGACUAAACCAUGUAAAGAAAAAGAGAAAACAUACUGCAGGAAUGAGAGGGAGCCUCAUCUAAUCCCAUAAAGUACAACCAAGACAACACUUCUUAUAUCUACACAUCGAUUGGCGAAUGAGGCAUGGGCAUAUGAUUUACUAAUUCAUUAUUCAAGCAUCAACCUCCCGCCAAAACAACAAUUGCAGUUAUGAAAAACAACUCUCAAGAAAUGUGAAAUUAUAUUUUCCUUCGAUGUGAGAACAGUUGCCAAGGACACCUAGCAAUGUCUUACACAUGGCUAUUUUGCAAGGCGGAGACGGGAUUUUCCCUGCCAUCCCCACCUCCACCCCCGUCCCUAGUAGGGUCAAACAAAUUGAUAAUGACCUUGUCUUCUCCCCAUUGAGGUCAGCAAAUCCCGUCAAUCUUUUUCUUAAUUUUAUUCAUAUGUGUAUGCAAGCCCAGACUUAUUGUCAUGUCUACCCAAAAAACCAAAUAGUAAAUUCAUGAAAAACACUAACCAUUUUGAUAUGCCUGUGGUUCGUUGGACUGUGAAAGGGCCUUCUCCUCUUGAGCAAGCCGAUGUUCAUAAUAUUUAUAGUCAGAACAUUUAACAUCAAAUAAAAACCUGCAUGCUCAAACAACACCACACAUUCAGUUAGAAAUUACAAAUCAUAAGCAAAAGACUGAUGCAACAGGAUUAUGAGUUAACUCCAAACAUACUUGAAAGGUGAGUCUCCAGGGUUUUUUUGCCAUGUAACAUCCUCAAAUGGCCUUCCAUUUUUAGCCACAAAACUUGCAAAUUUGUCAGCAACUUUCUUCACUGUAGGAUCACUUGGGGGAGGAGGUGCUGCAUAUCACUUAUAAAACUGAUUAAUACCAAGAGCAUGAACAAGGGAAUGGAAAUUACUCUUGUAGCAGGCGUGCCAAUACCCCAUUCUUGAUAGGUACUUGAGGAAUAAGCUGCAUUCAUGACACAAGAUAUUCAAAGACGUUUUCUCCUCUUUGCUGAAUGUCUUUUCAGUUAGCAAAGAAGGAAUAUGUGGUGAAUACUUCUUCAAUAACGAAACUGGGCUUAAUGUAGAGGACUCUACUUUUUACGAGAAGAAAACGGCUAAAAAAAUAGUGUAGAUCUUCCAUCAAAUAAAUACCUCAAGGAGUAGUUCAGGACAUGCUUCACAAAUACACCCAAGAGGACACUCAUUUUAUACACCUCUCUACUUCCUUUUUAUGAUCCAGGGGAUAAAUAUGACAAAUAAUUUUCUAUUUUAAAUCAAUACAUGUAUGUUCUUUCAUCCUCAUAUGAAAAAUAUUGUGAUGAAGGGAUAAAAUUUAUGAAUGGGGAGAUCAGCAUUCAAGAAGGAAAAAGCAAGUUUUCCAAGAUGCAAAGAGAACAAGAAAUAGGAAAGAGACAGGGAGGAAACAAAAUCAGAAAGUAGAUGCCAUCUAAGACAUAUUGAAUUGACAAAAAGCUGCAGUGAUCUGUAAGUUAGAAAGAGAGUGUAUGGCGUGCAUCAUCAGGAAACAAAAUUAUCACUAAUCCAUCAACAUGGAUAGACUUGGAAUGACCAACCAUAAUUAAAAUAUAGAAUCACUACGUAAUAAUUUUAUUGGAUAAUUCCUACCAACUAUCUUGCAUAAGAUUUGAGUGAGAAGUAAUUACCAACAUCAAGCUGUCUUGAUGAUUGCUCAAUGCCGUCAUCCUGACCCAAUUUUUGCCGUUUUGUCAGUGCAUCAAUUGAAACAUACCCAGCAUCUAUUUCAUCUUCAUCGUCAUCAGCCAACUUAACAGGGGGUGGUACUAGCUUUGACUUUUGUUUCAAGCUGAAAGCAAGUUUGCCACUGGAACCACCCUGUGAAGAUUUCUUUGCAUCAUUAGCCUUACUAAUGGAGGGUUUGGAAGUCAGAGGUCCUGAAACAACUUUAAUUGGUUUAGAGUCCUCUGGCUUGGCAUUUUUCCCCCUCUCCUGCUCUUGUUGGAGCUGCCUGAACCUCUCCAUAAACGAACCAUCAUUGACAAAGAGGGUAGGAGGUGGUCCCUUGUCCAUCGGUUAAGGUC
RNAcentral lists this long non-coding RNA (16705 nucleotides) under Medicago truncatula (barrel medic). Its description in RNAcentral is "long non-coding RNA (MTRU_LNC006053)". The record is from RNAcentral. Lineage: Eukaryota; Viridiplantae; Streptophyta; Magnoliopsida; Fabales; Fabaceae.